This 795-nucleotide ribosomal RNA is filed under the name uncultured Alphaproteobacteria bacterium. RNAcentral describes it as "bacterial SSU rRNA". It matches the Rfam family "Bacterial small subunit ribosomal RNA", at positions 88 to 919 of the family's 1533-position model. The record is from RNAcentral. Lineage: Bacteria; Pseudomonadati; Pseudomonadota; Alphaproteobacteria.
AUACUGAGUGGCAAACGGGUGAGUAUAAUGUGGGAAUCUGCCUUUUGGUUCGGAAUAACACGAGGAAACUUGUGCUAAUACCGGAUAAGCCCUUACGGGGAAAGUUUUAAUGCCAAAAGAUGAGCCCGCACUUGAUUAGCUAGUUGGUAAGGUAAUGGCUUACCAAGGCAACGAUCAAUAGCUGUUCUUAGAGGAAGACCAGCCACAUUGGGACUGAGACACGGCCCAAACUCCUACGGGAGGCAGCAGUGGGGAAUCUUGCACAAUGGGGGAAACCCUGAUGCAGCGAUGCCGCGUGAGUGAAGAAGGCCCUUGGGUUGUAAAACUCUUUCGUCGGGGAAGAAAAUGACUGUACCCGAAUAAGAAGGUCCGGCUAACUUCGUGCCAGCAGCCGCGGUAAUACGAAGGGACCUAGCGUAGUUCGGAAUUACUGGGCUUAAAGAGUUCGUAGGUGGUUAAAAAAGUUGAUGGUGAAAUCCCAAGGCUCAACCUUGGAACUGCCAUCAAAACUUUUUAGCUAGAGUGUGAUAGAGGAAAGUGGAAUUUCUAGUGUAGAGGUGAAAUUCGUAGAUAUUAGAAAGAACAUCAAAAGCGAAGGCAACUUUCUGGAUCAUUACUGACCCUGAGGAACGAAAGCAUGGGUAGCGAAAAGGAUUAAAUACCCUCGUAGCCCAUGCCGUAAACGAUGUGUGCUAAACCUUGGAAACUUAGUUUUCAGUGUCCCACCGAAAGCAUUAAACACACCCCCCUGGGGAGUACAACCGCCAGGUUAAAACUCCAAAGAAUUGACGGGGA